This 553-nucleotide ribosomal RNA is filed under the name fungal sp. RNAcentral describes it as "eukaryotic LSU rRNA". The stretch from base 188 to 341 matches the Rfam family "5.8S ribosomal RNA". The record is from RNAcentral. Lineage: Eukaryota; Fungi.
GUGACCUGCGGAGGGAUCAUUACACAAAUAUGAAGGCGGGCUGGAACCUCUCGGGGUUACAGCCUUGCUGAAUUAUUCACCCUUGUCUUUUGCGUACUUCUUGUUUCCUUGGUGGGUUCGCCCACCACUAGGACAAACAUAAACCUUUUGUAAUUGCAAUCAGCGUCAGUAACAAAUUAAUAAUUACAACUUUCAACAACGGAUCUCUUGGUUCUGGCAUCGAUGAAGAACGCAGCGAAAUGCGAUAAGUAGUGUGAAUUGCAGAAUUCAGUGAAUCAUCGAAUCUUUGAACGCACAUUGCGCCCUUUGGUAUUCCAAAGGGCAUGCCUGUUCGAGCGUCAUUUGUACCCUCAAGCUUUGCUUGGUGUUGGGCGUCUUGUCUCUAGCUUUGCUGGAGACUCGCCUUAAAGUAAUUGGCAGCCGGCCUACUGGUUUCGGAGCGCAGCACAAGUCGCACUCUCUAUCAGCAAAGGUCUAGCAUCCAUUAAGCCUUUUUUUCAACUUUUGACCUCGGAUCAGGUAGGGAUACCCGCUGAACUUAAGCAUAUCAAUA